CGCACGGUAGUUUAAAAGGUAAAACGCACACGGCCAUAAAGUGGGAAAUAUGGGUUCGAAUCCCAUCCGUGCAA
RNAcentral lists this transfer RNA (74 nucleotides) under Aeriscardovia sp. Its description in RNAcentral is "tRNA-Met". It matches the Rfam family "tRNA". From Rfam's summary of the family: Transfer RNA (tRNA) molecules are approximately 80 nucleotides in length. Their secondary structure includes four short double-helical elements and three loops (D, anti-codon, and T loops). Lineage: Bacteria; Bacillati; Actinomycetota; Actinomycetes; Bifidobacteriales; Bifidobacteriaceae. The record is from RNAcentral.